This 768-nucleotide ribosomal RNA is filed under the name Staphylococcus epidermidis. RNAcentral's name for it is "bacterial SSU rRNA". It matches the Rfam family "Bacterial small subunit ribosomal RNA", at positions 69 to 824 of the family's 1533-position model. Lineage: Bacteria; Bacillati; Bacillota; Bacilli; Caryophanales; Staphylococcaceae. The record is from RNAcentral.
ACACAGGAGCUUGCUCCUUUGACGUUAGCGGCGGACGGGUGAGUAACACGUGGGUAACCUACCUAUAAGACUGGGAUAACUUCGGGAAACCGGAGCUAAUACCGGAUAAUAUUUCGAACCGCAUGGUUCGAUAGUGAAAGAUGGUUUUGCUAUCACUUAUAGAUGGACCCGCGCCGUAUUAGCUAGUUGGUAAGGUAACGGCUUACCAAGGCGACGAUACGUAGCCGACCUGAGAGGGUGAUCGGCCACACUGGAACUGAAACACGGUCCAGACUCCUACGGGAGGCAGCAGUAGGGAAUCUUCCGCAAUGGGCGAAAGCCUGACGGAGCAACGCCGCGUGAGUGAUGAAGGUCUUCGGAUCGUAAAACUCUGUUAUUAGGGAAGAACAUACGUGUAAGUAACUAUGCACGUCUUGACGGUACCUAAUCAGAAAGCCACGGCUAACUACGUGCCAGCAGCCGCGGUAAUACGUAGGUGGCAAGCGUUAUCCGGAAUUAUUGGGCGUAAAGCGCGCGUAGGCGGUUUUUUAAGUCUGAUGUGAAAGCCCACGGCUCAACCGUGGAGGGUCAUUGGAAACUGGAAAACUUGAGUGCAGAAGAGGAAAGUGGAAUUCCAUGUGUAGCGGUGAAAUGCGCAGAGAUAUGGAGGAACACCAGUGGCGAAAGCGACUUUCUGGUCUGUAACUGACGCUGAUGUGCGAAAGCGUGGGGAUCAAACAGAUUAGAUACCCUGGUAGUCCACGCCGUAAACGAUGAGUGCUAAGUGUU